This 345-nucleotide transfer-messenger RNA is filed under the name Candidatus Tectimicrobiota bacterium. Its description in RNAcentral is "partial transfer-messenger RNA". It matches the Rfam family "transfer-messenger RNA". Rfam says of the family: Bacterial tmRNA, also known as 10Sa RNA or SsrA, is named for its dual tRNA and mRNA-like properties. Its role is to liberate the mRNA from a stalled ribosome. The record is from RNAcentral. Lineage: Bacteria; Pseudomonadati; Candidatus Tectimicrobiota.
GGGGGCGAAAAGGUUUCGACGAGGGUAGUUGAAGUUAAGGUUGCAGGCCGAGUUCCCACGGACUCGUUAAACAGUGGGAAAAAACUAAACGCAGACAGAAAUGCUCUGCCUCUAGCCGCUUAAGGCUAGCGUCUUAUCCUUCUAAUGCCUACGGGAAGGAAUAAGGUGUCAUAUUAGUGGGCUGGCUUCGAUUCUUACUCCUGAGAGGAAAAGAGGCGAGAUUUUACUCAGGACGGUGGUCUCAAGAAUCCUGCCUGUGGGAGGCUGGGGCGACCGAAACUAAAACUACAGGCUAAGCAUGUAGGAUACCUUAAGCUGAAGACUCUCGGACGCGGGUUCGAUUCC